RNAcentral lists this transfer RNA (80 nucleotides) under Bacilli bacterium. RNAcentral describes it as "tRNA-Leu". It matches the Rfam family "tRNA". Rfam says of the family: Transfer RNA (tRNA) molecules are approximately 80 nucleotides in length. Lineage: Bacteria; Bacillati; Bacillota; Bacilli. The record is from RNAcentral.
GCUCCUAUGGUGGAAUUGGUAGACACGAUAGAUUUAGGAUCUAUUGCGAAAGCGUGCAGAUUCGAGUUCUGCUAGGAGUA